UAGUAUCUAUUAACCUUAAUAACUGUAGUUCUAAUAUAAAUUAAUAUUUUUCCAUCUGCGCAUCACUUACUAAAAUUCUCACCACAUCGAGAGGUAGUAUUGCGUCAGAUAAUAUCCAGUAAGAUAUAAUUAUUGUCAACAUGCUAGAGAAUUGAAUAAUAUUCUCAACUUUUAUCAGUAUUCUUUAUAAGAAUUAAUAUCUGAUAAUAUAACAACUAGUGAUUCAAUAACCACGAGUUAUCAACUAAAAUAUCACUAUAUAACAGUUUAUCUGUUAUAUUAACCCAUCAUGGAGGAAACAGAACCUCUCUCCAUUUCUCGUUCAAUAAGAACACUGUUCAUAAUUAUUGUUAUCCAGCGAGAAUAUAAACAAUAUUUAAUUCCCUACAAUUGCGACCCUAUUCUCAUUAACGUAUUAAGUAGAGUAAUUACAAGGAAAAGAAUUUUCCGUUUCUACUAAAAUGUGAAUGCGUCAGAGAGUGUUGAGGGAGACGGAGGCGUAGCGACGCCAUCACUAGCGACGCAACUGGCGAGAGAGUCGGACGCGAGACAACGUGGCGUCCAUUAGACCAGGGAGAGGCGAAGUUUUCAACAAUUCUACGACAGGCCCUUGCUAUUACUCGGCCUUGGAGUGUGCUACUACUCCAGUAGCAGUCUAAAGAUAGCAUCGGUGGACAACCAGCAGGAUAUUGUGUUACCUGCCGUGUGUGCUGUGGGAGCUCCAGCACCUCAGCUGGCAACACCAGAGGUAUACAACACUUACCCCCUCUAUUGUAGAGCACGGCGGCGCUCUACAACACUCUAUUGCUCAAAGUGCUCACAGUAUUCCUCAGCAACUCUCCCAUGCACCACCACGAGGAUGUCUCCAGCGACAUUAUUGAUCGACACUUCAUUUCCACUCUGCCUUUAGAAGACAGGAAAUUGACAUCAUUAUCUCAGAGGUGACGUCUGGGGGCCGCGGUACUGGAGACGGCAGUUCAUCUUGGGCAGUCCAGAGUCUCUCUACAGGGUCCUGGAAACGACCAAGUAAGCCGCCGCCGAUGAAGCAGUGUGGUAGCUGCGGAAGGUUUAGUGUUGAAAGGAUCGGCGUACCAUUGGGACUGGCUUAAGGGAGAGACUGACGACAGGGAGGUGCCUGUUGAGUAGUGCUACUGGCUGGUCGCUAGAGACUGCUGCCAGGGGAUCGCUACCCCUUGUAUUGUGACCCCACUCAGCGUGUGGCUGAGGUACACUGCCAGAGAGUAACUGGAGAGUGGUCGUGGGGGUACAGGCACCUCAUGACACUGUCAGUGGGCUGGCCCACGUACAGGUGAACUACCCGGUGUUCUUCCCAGUAAGGUUGGAUACGCUACUGGACAGUGAAGAACUACUGGGGAUUGAUGAACUCUGCACGUGAACACGUUUGGUAUCCUGAGCGAAAGGAUUGUGCGUAAGUGUAGUAAUAGCCUAUCUGUUAUAUAUAUAUAUAUAUAUAUGUCGUACCUAGUAGCCAGAACGCACUUCUCAGCCUA
Non-coding RNA from Procambarus clarkii (red swamp crayfish), 1511 nucleotides. Lineage: Eukaryota; Metazoa; Arthropoda; Malacostraca; Decapoda; Cambaridae. The record is from RefSeq and is a predicted model, not a curated record.